Molecule: non-coding RNA, 2734 nt
Organism: Gasterosteus aculeatus aculeatus (three-spined stickleback)
Lineage: Eukaryota; Metazoa; Chordata; Actinopteri; Perciformes; Gasterosteidae
Source: RefSeq, a predicted model, not a curated record
GUGGAAUUAUCAUGUAGCUGUUGGUCGUUUCCUUUUUAAAUACCAUCUGAAAUUGAUUAUAAGGCUUGUGAAUGUGAUUUAAGAGAAGGUUUGGUGAUCUAUGACAUUUCGCGUCGCUCCGCGCGCGCUGUUUUGUCACAAACGUUAAAUCAAUGCUAUGUUUUAUUUUGAAAACAGGAAAUGUUAUGUAAUUUGUCAGGUGACAGGAACCAGGAAGUGAAUGAAGAAUAUGGCUCAGAACUGCUGUUUGUAUUGGUAGCUUUUCAAUCCAGUUGAGUCUGCCUGCAUCCUAUACCUUUUUGAUAGUAUCGUUGUUUUACACUUUCUCUCAUGUCAAUAAACCUGUGGACAACGGACGAUUGUCUUCAGAGUCGUGAUGUCAGAAAAGAGUUCGUCUAACUGCCGAGGUGUAUCGGAGCGCAUAAACCGAGGGCGGCAUACGCGCGGUUAACGACAACGGACUCUUGGACGCUUUGUGCGACGGCCGCACGGGUUCUGAGCAGGGGUUCUCUCAGAGUGUAUGAGGGAGUUCAAUGACGUAGAAAGGGGAAAUACAAGUUUAGUAAGCAGCGAAUGAAUUUUAAAGUUACGGAUGGUAAUUACAUGAUAUUGAAUAGUAAAGGUUUUAUCCUUGUGCUAAAUGUUUUAAACAACCAAAAAAGAAAAAAGGUUUUCAAUUAGUAACUUAUACCAUAAUACAUAAAGGGCACUGUAUACAUGUGUAAACAUUUGUUUUGUGUUUCUGAUUUAUAAUGAACUCUUUUAUCUACAUACGCAAAAUGCAUUGAUUUGAGUUUAUGUCCAGGAAGGACUUUCAGUACGUUUCUUAUUGUUGUACAUUGAAAGGAUUAUUCCUCGUUGUGUGAAACAUCAGCAGCGCGGCGCUCUAACGCUCUCAGUUAUUCCAUUACACCAACACAACACACAUAUUGCACAGCGAAACGCUGCUUUAUUCUCCUUAAUGUAAUCUGCUUUGGAGGCGUCACAUCAGGCUCUUCUACUUAUGUGUUACGCAUCAUUUCUUUUAACUUUCUGGUCAUGUUUUUCUGCUGUGAAGAUUCUUGUCUUUUCUUUGUAGCCCUGAUGAAUGUGUCUUCUUAGAUGAUUAUUUGUAUUCAUGUUUUUAUCACAAGGUUAACUAUCAUCUCAUAACUAAAUGUGUGUUGCCAUUCAUUUUAUAAUACUCUUAUUAUUAUUACACAAGAAUACUAUUAGUAAUACACACUGAUGACCAAACAUACAACAAACAUUAUGUUCCUAGGUUUGAGUUCAUAUUGAUCUCGAUGCUUUCAUGUUAUGAAUGUUAUUUGUUUUUAUGUCUACUGGUGUGUGGGUGUGUGUUCAAAGGGAAGGGAGAGGCCUCGUUCUUUGAAAGGGUGAGAAAGUGGAAGUUACUUUAAAGUAGUUAAAGACUGUUAACACUCUGGUUAGAUGAGCUCAUCAUCUCUCACUUUCAACAAGAUGGAAAUCUAUGCGUUCUUUUGCAUUCUUACAGGGGAGUACUUUUGGGGAUUUCUCUGUAUUUGUAAACUAUUAAAGCUUUCGUAUGAAUGCUGUAGUUUUUAAAUGACAUGCUUGUCCUUUAUUUUCCUAAAUCACCCAUUAACUGGUCUAUUUAGAAAUGUUAUAUUUAUAAAAUGUGACUCAGCUGCUCGUGCUGGAAUGUUUGGACUGAUGUAACAGAAUGAAUGUCAAGUACUUUUGACCUGAUGAUUCCUACACACUCAUUCACUCGCUCUCUCACUUUCACGAUAAUGAAAAUCUAUGUUUACUUUUGUCUUCUUUCCGGUGAGUUUGUUUGUAUUUUCUGCAUUUACACCAACUGUAGCUUGCGUACAAAAGAUGUAGCUGUUGAAUGAAACAUGUAAUCUUCUAAUUAGGGGUUUAUUUUUGUUUUUCUAUUUUACAGUUCAAUGAUCCAAAGCAAGAAAAUAAGUCUGUGCAUAUUUGUUGCUACGAUUUAAUAAACAGUUGACAUAUUUUUUUCUUAUGUUGUUUUUAUUGACUGUUUUGGUUGAUUUCCUCUGCUUUAGGAUUGCAACAUUAGUUUUAGCUAAAAGAACACGGAUUAAGAGAUUUAAAUUGAAUUUACGGAAAAUGUCCUUCUCUCCUUCUGAUCUAUAGGUAUGAUGCUCCAGAGGUAAAGAAUAUCUUCAUGAAUGAAAUGAAAUGAGAAGAUUAUGAUCUGGCUGUAUUUUAUAUAUUUUUUGAGAUAUAAAGCUUUACUGUCAAGCUUUCUGCAGCAACAGGAGCAGCACAUGAAAAGCUGGUGGCACAAACAGGAAGUCCCUCACAGGCCAGACCAUUUCCUUUCGUAGAAGCACCCGGCCGCCCGUCCACAUCAGAGGCUGAGUCAAUAGAGGAACACGGCCACUAAAUGAGAAACAGCUUGUGUGUUGCAGGAGGAGGAGGAGCAUCAACUGGAGACAAUAAGAGGAAGUGAAGGAGGGACGUGAAGACGGUGAUGACUGACCUGAUGAUUCCUACACACUCGAUCACUCACUCUCUCACUUUCACGAUGAUAAAAAUCUAUGUUUACUUUUGUCUUCUUUCUGGUCUGAGUGUUGUGCAGAUGAAGCCUCUGAACAUAAAUGGUCGUGUUGGUGAAAGUGUGAAAAUCAGCUGCUCAGACUGGAACGUUUGGGCUGAUGUAACAGAGAAUGUCAAGUCCUUUUGUUACAGUCCAUGCACGGAGGACCGACACAUCAUCAUUAAAGCAGCAUAUGAAAAAAUU